Cricetulus griseus (Chinese hamster) is the source of this 286-nucleotide unclassified non-coding RNA. Its record names the gene 7SK. It matches the Rfam family "7SK RNA". Rfam says of the family: 7SK was discovered as an abundant small nuclear RNA in the mid-70s but a possible function has only recently been suggested. Two independent studies have found that 7SK RNA binds the CDK9/cyclin T complex (known as elongation factor P-TEFb). NCBI's taxonomy places the organism in Eukaryota, Metazoa, Chordata, Mammalia, Rodentia, Cricetidae. The record is from Ensembl.
AGAGUUGAUCAGGCCAACCUAGCUGGCUAGGAAGGCAUUCCCUCCCUCUCUCAAUGCUCUAUCUGUGUCUUCCCAGAAGUUGUGCUCAGCUAAGAUGAUGUCCUUCCUUGACUGAGAACCAUUCUUCAGUGAUGGGUAUAAGAAGCGACAGUGCUCCCCUGCUGGAACCUCCAAAUGAGCCCUCAAGUCACGGCUUAGUAUUUAAGAAACAUUUGAGGUUCCUUCUGCAAAGCAAUCCCAUAAUAAAACAACUACAACCUAGGACCCUGAGAAACAGCCACUACUA